AUCCAGCUGACGAGUCCCAAAUAGGACUAAUCGCGCGUCCUGGAU
This is a non-coding RNA of Schistosoma curassoni, 45 nucleotides long. The record is from Rfam. NCBI's taxonomy places the organism in Eukaryota, Metazoa, Platyhelminthes, Trematoda, Strigeidida, Schistosomatidae.